This 541-nucleotide ribosomal RNA is filed under the name uncultured Alphaproteobacteria bacterium. RNAcentral describes it as "bacterial SSU rRNA". It matches the Rfam family "Bacterial small subunit ribosomal RNA", at positions 38 to 627 of the family's 1533-position model. The record is from RNAcentral. Lineage: Bacteria; Pseudomonadati; Pseudomonadota; Alphaproteobacteria.
GGCGGCAGGCCUAAUACAUGCAAGUCGAGCGCACCUUCGGGUGAGCGGCGGACGGGUGAGUAACGCGUGGGAAUAUGCCCUUUGGUACGGAACAACUGAGGGAAACUUCAGCUAAUACCGUAUGUGCCCUUCGGGGGAAAGAUUUAUCGCCAUUGGAGUAGCCCGCGUUGGAUUAGCUAGUUGGUAGGGUAAAGGCCUGCCAAGGCUACGAUCCAUAGCUGGUCUGAGAGGAUGAUCAGCCACAUUGGGACUGAGACACGGCCCAAACUCCUACGGGAGGCAGCAGUAGGGAAUCUUGCGCAAUGGGCGAAAGCCUGACGCAGCCAUGCCGCGUGAAUGAUGAAGGUCUUAGGAUUGUAAAAUUCUUUCACCGGGGAAGAUAAUGACGGUACCCGGAGAAGAAGCCCCGGCUAACUUCGUGCCAGCAGCCGCGGUAAUACGAAGGGGGCUAGCGUUGCUCGGAAUUACUGGGCGUAAAGGGCGCGUAGGCGGAUACUUAAGUUAGAGGUGAAAGCCCAGGGCUCAACCCUGGAAUAGCCUU